ACAAGAAGAUAUCCAAGUAGCCAAUGUGCAC
Molecule: non-coding RNA, 31 nt
Filed under: Homo sapiens (human)
Lineage: Eukaryota; Metazoa; Chordata; Mammalia; Primates; Hominidae
Source: RNAcentral